CUAGGGUUUCCAUAUUCCUCAAUUCCAUCUCAUUUCUGCAAAUCCAUCGAUCAUGGAGGAGAAGGCUAAAACCCUGAACUUUAUGCUGUAAUCGAACUUGAUUGGUCAAAGUUUGGAGCUUUAGUUGGUGGAAGACAUGAAGCAAUGACCACCACACUUCAAGAUUUGGAUGAUCCAGAUCGGAACAAGGUUGAAAGCAAUGGUUCCAGUGUUAUUAAUCACAAUACCCCUAUUUUAGAUGAGUCUAAAGGUAAAGGUAUUGAAACUGCGGACCCAGUGGGUUCACCUCCCUCAGUGAAAUCCUCACCAACAGCUAAAGGAUUUGGCUUGAAGAAAUGGAGGAGGAUCAGGCGGGAAGCACACAAGGAUGAGGACAGUAACACAGACAAUGCUAAGUUGUUGAAGCGUGGUUUGUCGAGCUCUGCUGCAAACUCAGCAAAACCUGUACAUUUGUCCACUGGAUCGAUCCGAAAUAGUGAUGGAUCUGUUUCUUCAGUAAAUGCACUAUUGGGUAGCCCUGAUGUUCUUGUUGAUGGCUUUGGUCUUAUUGGUAAUUCUGGGUUGGCGAUUCAUCCUAUAUUUUUGGGUGGAACAGACUCGGAAAAUAGUGAGGAUCGGAGUAGUAGGUCUUCGACUGCAGCCAGUGCUCCAAAGUCAAGGUACGAAGCACCUGUUUUCCAUGGUUAUAUGCCUGUUAAGAAUGGGCCAGGUACUUUGGGUGGGAAGAUGGGUACUUCAGCUCAGCAAUCUCAUCGGGGAAAG
RNAcentral lists this unclassified non-coding RNA (762 nucleotides) under Hevea brasiliensis (rubber tree). The record is from RNAcentral. Lineage: Eukaryota; Viridiplantae; Streptophyta; Magnoliopsida; Malpighiales; Euphorbiaceae.